UACAGAGGUCCCAAGCGUUGUUCGGAUUCAUUGGGCGUAAAGGGUGCGUAGGUGGCGCCGUAAGUCAGGUGUGAAAUCUCGGGGCUUAACUCCGAAACUGCAUUUGAUACUGCGGUGCUUGAAGACUGGAGAGGAGACUGGAAUUUACGGUGUAGCAGUGAAAUGCGUAGAGAUCGUAAGGAAGACCAGUGGCGAAGGCGGGUCUCGUGGACAGUUCCUGACACUGAGGCACGAAGGCCAGGGGAGCAAACGGG
Molecule: ribosomal RNA, 254 nt
Filed under: uncultured bacterium
Lineage: Bacteria
Description: partial 16S ribosomal RNA
Rfam family: Bacterial small subunit ribosomal RNA
Source: RNAcentral